AACGAACGCUGGCGGCAUGCCUAACACAUGCCAGUCGAACGAGACCUUCGGGUCUAGUGGCGCACGGGUGCGUAACGCGUGGGAACCUGCCCUUAGGUUUGGAAUAACUCCCCGAAAGGGGUGCUAAUACCGGAUAAUGUCUUCGGACCAAAGAUUUAUCGCCUUUGGAUGGGCCCGCGUUGGAUUAGCUAGUUGGUAGGGUAAAAGCCUACCAAGGCGACGAUCCAUAGCUGGUCUGAGAGGAUGAUCAGCCACACUGGGACUGAGACACGGCCCAGACUCCUACGGGAGGCAGCAGUGGGGAAUAUUGGACAAUGGGCGAAAGCCUGAUCCAGCAAUGCCGCGUGAGUGAUGAAGGCCUUAGGGUUGUAAAGCUCUUUUACCCGGGAUGAUAAUGACAGUACCGGGAGAAUAAGCACCGGCUAACUCCGUG
RNAcentral lists this ribosomal RNA (433 nucleotides) under uncultured bacterium. RNAcentral describes it as "partial 16S ribosomal RNA". It matches the Rfam family "Bacterial small subunit ribosomal RNA", at positions 29 to 507 of the family's 1533-position model. The record is from RNAcentral.